CCUACGGGUGGCAGCAGUCGAGAAUUUUUCACAAUGGGGGAAACCCUGAUGGAGCGACGCCGCGUGGGGGAUGAAUGGCUUCGGCCCGUAAACCCCUGUCAUUUGCGAAUCAGUAGCGAAAGAGGAAGGGACGGCUAACUCUGUGCCAGCAGCCGCGGUAAUACAGAGGUCCCAAGCGUUGUUCGGAUUCACUGGGCGUAAAGGGUGCGUAGGUGGUCGGGUAAGUCUGAUGUGAAAUCUCUCAGCUCAACUGAGAAACUGCAUUGGAUACUAUCCGGCUUGAGGAUUGGAGGGGGGACUGGAAUUCUCGGUGUAGCAGUGAAAUGCGUAGAUAUCGAGAGGAACACCAGUGGCGAAGGCGAGUCCCUGGACAAUCCUGACACUGAGGCACGAAAGCUAGGGGAGCAAACAGGAUUAGAUACCCUUGUAGUC
Molecule: ribosomal RNA, 432 nt
Filed under: uncultured bacterium
Lineage: Bacteria
Description: partial 16S ribosomal RNA
Rfam family: Bacterial small subunit ribosomal RNA
Source: RNAcentral